This is a ribosomal RNA of Sinocyclocheilus anshuiensis, 119 nucleotides long. The record is from Ensembl. Lineage: Eukaryota; Metazoa; Chordata; Actinopteri; Cypriniformes; Cyprinidae.
CACAGCCAUAUCACCCUGCAGCCCAAGACUGGUUGCCCACUGAAACUAAGUAGGGUUGAGCCUGGUCAGUACCUGGAUGGGAGACCUCCUGGGAAAACGUCUCCAGGUUACGAAUGUAA